Molecule: ribosomal RNA, 497 nt
Filed under: uncultured bacterium
Lineage: Bacteria
Description: partial 16S ribosomal RNA
Rfam family: Bacterial small subunit ribosomal RNA
Source: RNAcentral
GACGAACGCUGGCGGCGUGCCUAAUACAUGCAAGUUGAGCGCUGAAGGUUGGUACUUGUACCAACUGGAUGAGCAGCGAACGGGUGAGUAACGCGUGGGGAAUCUGCCUUUGAGCGGGGGACAACAUUUGGAAACGAAUGCUAAUACCGCAUAAAAACUUUAAACACAAGUUUUAAGUUUGAAAGAUGCAAUUGCAUCACUCAAAGAUGAUCCCGCGUUGUAUUAGCUAGUUGGUGAGGUAAAGGCUCACCAAGGCGAUGAUACAUAGCCGACCUGAGAGGGUGAUCGGCCACAUUGGGACUGAGACACGGCCCAAACUCCUACGGGAGGCAGCAGUAGGGAAUCUUCGGCAAUAGACGAAAAUCUGACCGAGCAACGCCGCGUGAGUGAAGAAGGUUUUCGGAUCGUAAAACUCUGUUGGUAGAGAAGAACGUUGGUGAGAGUGGAAAGCUCAUCAAGUGACGGUAACUACCCAGAAAGGGACGGCUAACUACGUG